GCGUGUGUCGUAUAGUGGCAAUUAUAGGUGGCUUCCAACCAUCGGACGAGGGUUCGAUUCCCUCCACCCGCA
This 72-nucleotide transfer RNA is filed under the name Acinetobacter phage vB_AbaM_Acibel004. It matches the Rfam family "tRNA". From Rfam's summary of the family: Transfer RNA (tRNA) molecules are approximately 80 nucleotides in length. The record is from Rfam by way of RNAcentral. Lineage: Duplodnaviria; Heunggongvirae; Uroviricota; Caudoviricetes; Luriaviridae.